This 1217-nucleotide ribosomal RNA is filed under the name gamma proteobacterium WHOI JT-23. Its description in RNAcentral is "bacterial SSU rRNA". It matches the Rfam family "Bacterial small subunit ribosomal RNA", at positions 52 to 1244 of the family's 1533-position model. The record is from RNAcentral. Lineage: Bacteria; Pseudomonadati; Pseudomonadota; Gammaproteobacteria.
CACAUGCAAGUCGAACGGUGAACAUGAAAGACUUGCUCUUUUGAUGACGAGUGGCGGACGGGUGAGUAACACGUGGGAAUCUACCGAGUAGCGGGGGAUAGCCCGGAGAAAUCCGGAUUAAUACCGCAUAAGCACUACGGUGUAAAGGGGGCCUCUUCUUGAAAGCUUCCACUAUUCGAUGAGCCUGCGUCAGAUUAGCUAGUUGGUGGGGUAAUGGCCUACCAAGGCGACGAUCUGUAGCUGGUCUGAGAGGAUGAUCAGCCACACUGGGACUGAGACACGGCCCAGACUCCUACGGGAGGCAGCAGUGGGGAAUAUUGGACAAUGGGGGCAACCCUGAUCCAGCAAUACCGCGUGUGUGAAGAAGGCCUUCGGGUUGUAAAGCACUUUCAGCGAGGAGGAAAAGCUAGUAGUUAAUACCUGCUGGCCUUUGACGUUACUCGCAGAAGAAGCACCGGCUAACUCCGUGCCAGCAGCCGCGGUAAUACGGAGGGUGCCAAGCGUUAAUCGGAAUUACUGGGCGUAAAGCGCGCGUAGGCGGAUGAUUAAGUCAGAUGUGAAAGCCCAGGGCUUAACCUUGGAACUGCAUUUGAUACUGGUCAUCUAGAGUACAGAAGAGGGGGGUGGAAUUCCAGGUGUAGCGGUGAAAUGCGUAGAUAUCUGGAGGAACAUCAGUGGCGAAGGCGACCCCCUGGUCUGAUACUGACGCUGAGGUGCGAAAGCGUGGGUAGCGAACAGGAUUAGAUACCCUGGUAGUCCACGCCGUAAACGAUGUCUAUUAGCUGUUGGGUAUAUUAAGAUACUUAGUGGCGCAGCUAACGCUUUAAAUAGACCGCCUGGGGAGUACGGCCGCAAGGUUAAAACUCAAAUGAAUUGACGGGGGCCCGCACAAGCGGUGGAGCAUGUGGUUUAAUUCGAUGCAACGCGAAGAACCUUACCAGGUCUUGACAUCCAGAGAACUUUCCAGAGAUGGAUUGGUGCCUUCGGGAACUCUGUGAACAGGUGCUGCAUGGCUUGUCGUCAGCUUCGUGUCGUGAAGAUGUUUGGGGUUAAGUCCCGUAACGAGCGCAACCCCUUGUCCUUAGUUGCUAACAUUUAAGUUGAGAACUCUAAGGAGACUGGCCGGUGACAAACCGGAGGGAAGGUGGGGGACGACGUUCAAGUCAUCAUGGCCCUUACGACCUGGGCUCCACACGUGCUACAUGGGGCAGUCAGAA